UACGAAGGGGGGCUAGCGUUGCUCGGAAUCACUGGGCGUAAAGGGCGCGUAGGCGGCCAUUCAAGUCGGAGGUGAAAGCCCCAGGGCUCAACCCUGGAAUUGCCUUCGAUACUGUUUGGCUAGAGACCGGAAGAGGUAAGUGGAACUGCGAGUGUAGAGGUGAAAUUCGUAGAUAUUCGCAAGAACACCAGUGGCGAAGGCGGCUUACUGGUCCGGUUCUGACGCUGAGGCGCGAAAGCGUGGGGGAGCAAACAGG
Molecule: ribosomal RNA, 256 nt
Filed under: uncultured bacterium
Lineage: Bacteria
Description: partial 16S ribosomal RNA
Rfam family: Bacterial small subunit ribosomal RNA
Source: RNAcentral